Molecule: long non-coding RNA, 425 nt
Organism: Amphiprion ocellaris (clown anemonefish)
Lineage: Eukaryota; Metazoa; Chordata; Actinopteri; Pomacentridae
Source: Ensembl
AAAAAAAAUGCGAUUUUUCAACAUGUUGUGAAAACGUGCCAUAUGAUGAAAUAAUGUAAAAUAGGCCGUGAAAAACACUAUGGUAAGGUUUUCUUUGAAAAAAAAAUCAUCAUGAAUUUUGGCGCAAAAAAAACGCCAUAGUAUACUAUGUCGAAAAAAAUUUGCGAUUUUCCAACAUGUUGUAAAAACGAGCCAUAUGAUGAACGAAUGUAAAGGAGGCUGUGAAAAACACUCCAGAAAGGUUUUCUUUGAAAAAAAAAAUCAUGAAUUUUGGCGCAAAAAAACGCCAUAGUAGACUAUGUCGAAAAAAAAAUGCGAUUUUUCAACGUUGUGAAAACGUGCCAUAUGAUGAAAUAAGGUAAAAUAGGCCGUGAAAACUCUUACUGUUCACCUCUUAAAACCCAAAAACACCGCAGUAGCACCCU